GUGGGGAAUAUUGGACAAUGGGGGGAACCCUGAUCCAGCCAUGCCGCGUGUGUGAAGAAGGCCUUUUGGUUGUAAAGCACUUUAAGCGAGGAGGAGGCUACCGAGAUUAAUACUCUUGGAUAGUGGACGUUACUCGCAGAAUAAGCACCGGCUAACUCUGUGCCAGCAGCCGCGGUAAUACAGAGGGUGCAAGCGUUAAUCGGAUUUACUGGGCGUAAAGCGCGCGUAGGUGGCCAAUUAAGUCAAAUGUGAAAUCCCCGAGCUUAACUUGGGAAUUGCAGUCGAUACUGGUUGGCUAGAGUAUGGGAGAGGAUGGUAGAAUUCCAGGUGUAGCGGUGAAAUGCGUAGAGAUCUGGAGGAAUACCGAUGGCGAAGGCAGCCAUCUGGCCUAAUACUGACACUGAGGUGCGAAAGCAUGGGGAGCAAACAGGAUUAGAUACCCGGGUAGUCC
Molecule: ribosomal RNA, 451 nt
Filed under: uncultured bacterium
Lineage: Bacteria
Description: bacterial SSU rRNA
Rfam family: Bacterial small subunit ribosomal RNA
Source: RNAcentral